RNAcentral lists this ribosomal RNA (450 nucleotides) under uncultured bacterium. RNAcentral's name for it is "partial 16S ribosomal RNA". It matches the Rfam family "Bacterial small subunit ribosomal RNA", at positions 338 to 795 of the family's 1533-position model. The record is from RNAcentral.
CCUACGGGUGGCAGCAGUCGAGAAUCUUCGGCAAUGGGCGAAAGCCUGACCGAGCGACGCCGCGUGCGGGAUGAAGGCCCUCGGGUUGUAAACCGCUGUCAGUGGGGAGGAAGGCUCUGUGAAGAGCAGGGUUUGACCUAUCCGCAGAGGAAGUCCGGGCUAAGUUCGUGCCAGCAGCCGCGGUAACACGAACCGGACAAACGUUACUCGGAAUCACUGGGCUUAGAGGGCGCGUUGACAGCUUGGGUGUGAAAUCCCUCGGCUCAACCGAGGAAUUGCGCUCAAAACUGUUGGGCUAGAGGGAGUUAGAGGUAAGCGGAACUUAGGGUGGAGCGGUGAAAUGCGUUGAUAUCCUAAGGAACACCAGUGGCGAAAGCGGCUUACUGGAGCUCUUCUGACGCUGAGGCACGAAAGCUAGGGGAGCGAACGGGAUUAGAUACCCUGGUAGUC